UACGUAGGGUGCAAGCGUUGUCCGGAAUUAUUGGGCGUAAAGAGCUCGUAGGCGGUCUGUCGCGUCUGCUGUGAAAACUCAGGGCUUAACCCUGAGCUUGCAGUGGGUACGGGCAGACUAGAGUGCGGUAGGGGAGACUGGAAUUCCUGGUGUAGCGGUGAAAUGCGCAGAUAUCAGGAGGAACACCGGUGGCGAAGGCGGGUCUCUGGGCCGUAACUGACGCUGGAGGAAGCGGAAAUGCAUGGGGAGCGAACAG
This 256-nucleotide ribosomal RNA is filed under the name uncultured bacterium. Its description in RNAcentral is "partial 16S ribosomal RNA". It matches the Rfam family "Bacterial small subunit ribosomal RNA", at positions 524 to 775 of the family's 1533-position model. The record is from RNAcentral.